CCUACGGGUGGCAGCAGUGAGGAAUAUUGGUCAAUGGGCGGAAGCCUGAACCAGCCAAGUAGCGUGCGGGAUGAAGGCCCUACGGGUCGUAAACCGCUUUUGCACGGGGAUAACACCCUCCACUUGUGGAGGUCUGCAGGUACCGUGCGAAUAAGGGCCGGCUAAUUCCGUGCCAGCAGCCGCGGUAAUACGGAAGGCCCGAGCGUUAUCCGGAUUUAUUGGGUUUAAAGGGAGCGUAGGUGGAUUGUUAAGUCAGUUGUGAAAGUUUGCGGCUCAACCGUAAAAUUGCAGUUGAAACUGGCAGUCUUGAGUACAGUAGAGGUGGGCGGAAUUCGUGGUGUAGCGGUGAAAUGCUUAGAUAUCACGAAGAACUCCGAUUGCGAAGGCAGCUCACUGGACUGCAACUGACACUGAGGCUCGAAAGUGUGGGUAUCAAACAGGAUUAGAUACCCGGGUAGUC
RNAcentral lists this ribosomal RNA (460 nucleotides) under uncultured bacterium. RNAcentral's name for it is "partial 16S ribosomal RNA". It matches the Rfam family "Bacterial small subunit ribosomal RNA", at positions 338 to 795 of the family's 1533-position model. The record is from RNAcentral.